RNAcentral lists this ribosomal RNA (254 nucleotides) under uncultured bacterium. Its description in RNAcentral is "partial 16S ribosomal RNA". It matches the Rfam family "Bacterial small subunit ribosomal RNA", at positions 524 to 776 of the family's 1533-position model. The record is from RNAcentral.
UACGUAGGGUGCGAGCGUUAAUCGGAAUUACUGGGCGUAAAGCGUGCGCAGGCGGUCUGUUAAGACCGAUGUGAAAUCCCCGGGCUUAACCUGGGAACUGCAUUGGUGACUGGCAGGCUUUGAGUGUGGCAGAGGAGACUGGAAUUCAUGGUGUAGCAGUGAAAUGCGUAGAGAUCAUGAGGAAGACCAGUGGCGAAGGCGGGUCUCUGGACAGUUCCUGACACUGAGGCACGAAGGCCAGGGGAGCAAACGGG